This is a non-coding RNA of Drosophila virilis, 87 nucleotides long. The record is from Rfam. Lineage: Eukaryota; Metazoa; Arthropoda; Insecta; Diptera; Drosophilidae.
AACGCUGUGUGUAGUUGGUUGACAUCGGGUCAGAUCUAUUUCUGAAAGCAUUUGGUCCCCUUCAACCAGCUGUAGCAGUGGUUGAAG